AGAGCGCGUAGGCGGGUCCGGUAAGUCUGCCGUGAAAGCCAGGGGCUCAACCCCUGGAUGCCGGUGGAUACUGUCGGGCUAGAGUCCGGAAGAGGCGAGUGGAAUUCCUGGUGUAGCGGUGAAAUGCGCAGAUAUCAGGAAGAACACCUAUGGCGAAGGCAGCUCGCUGGGACGGAACUGACGCUGAGGCGCGAAAGGGUGGGGAGCAAACAGGAUUAGAUACCCUGGUAGUCCACGCCGUAAACGAUGGGCACUAGGUGUGGGAGGUGUCGACUCCUCCCGUGCCGCAGCUAACGCAUUAAGUGCCCCGCCUGGGGAGUACGGCCGCAAGGCUAAAACUCAAAGAAAUUGACGGGGGCCCGCACAAGCAGCGGAGCAUGUGGUUUAAUUCGACGCAACGCGAAGAACCUUACCUGGGCUUGACAUGUCCGCGACCGGCGUGGAAACACGUCUUCCCUUCGGGGCGCGGUCACAGGUGGUGCAUGGCUGUCGUCAGCUCGUGUCGUGAGAUGUUGGGUUAAGUCCCGCAACGAGCGCAACCCUCAUCGCAUGUUGCCAGCGGUUCGGCCGGGGACUCAUGCGCGACUGCCGGUGACAAACCGGAGGAAGGUGAGGAUGACGUCAAGUCAUCAUGCCCCUUAUGUCCAGGGCUACACACGUGCUACAUUGGCCGGUACAAAGGGCUGCAAGACCGCGAGGUGGAGCGAAUCCCAUAAAGCCGGUCUCGGUUCGGAUUGGAGGCUGAAACUCGCCUCCAUGAAGGCGGAGUUGCUAGUAAUCGCGGAUCAGCAAUGCCGCGGUGAAUACGUUCCCGGGCCUUGCAC
Molecule: ribosomal RNA, 824 nt
Filed under: uncultured Actinomycetes bacterium
Lineage: Bacteria; Bacillati; Actinomycetota; Actinomycetes
Description: bacterial SSU rRNA
Rfam family: Bacterial small subunit ribosomal RNA
Source: RNAcentral